CUAGCUGCGUGAAUUAAUGUGAAUUGCAGAACACAUUGAACAUCGACACCUUGAACGCACAUGGCGGCUUCGGGUUUACCCCGGGGCCACGCCCGUCUGAGGGUCGGUUGGCUAAAGCGAUCGCUACCUUGUCCGUAAAUUUUUUUUAUGUCCGGUUUCUAUCAUUUCUCGGGCUCUCGCGAGAUUGUGCAUGAGACUGGUACAUCAAAAUAAUUUUGGUAGCGCAUUGGGCCUUCGUGAAUAGCGUACGGUUAGCGCCCUUGCUCUCUGCGCUUCGUCGCAUGUUCUCGUGGCUUUAAGUACAGGAUGCGCCGUCGUCCUAUCUGUCCUACGAGAUGCUGCUCGCCUCGUCGGUGGUCUCUCGCUGCGCGACAGGUACCCGGCUCGUGCUUUAAAAGCGAGCUGUACGGACCUGGGACGCGCGUGAAAUGUUCGGGAGAUGGGCCGCAUAGCAGCGAUUCGUUCGGACUUACGGCGUCCGUCUUACACAUUAAUUUGUGUGGCGUGAAACAUUUUUUAUCCGACCUCAGAUCGGACGAGAUUACCCGCUGAAUUUAAGCAUAUUACUAAGCGGAGGAAAAGAAACUAACAAGGAUUUCCCUAGUAACGG
The sequence is a ribosomal RNA, 610 nucleotides long. The stretch from base 522 to 610 matches the Rfam family "Eukaryotic large subunit ribosomal RNA", at positions 1 to 89 of the family's 3401-position model.